Molecule: unclassified non-coding RNA, 1919 nt
Filed under: Leishmania donovani
Lineage: Eukaryota; Euglenozoa; Kinetoplastea; Trypanosomatida; Trypanosomatidae
Description: gene:LdHU3.21.1110(CDS-product:hypothetical_prote in_conserved)
Source: RNAcentral
CACCGACAGCGCCUUCAGUCUUCGCCUCCUGUGCGUGUGUGCCUCUCCUCUCUCUGUGGAGCGCAUCUUCGUCUCGUUUUCGUGCGCCUGCGCAUCUCCUCCGUUUCGGCCCAUUACGCACCGACUGGAACCACGCCGGAAAGGCCAACGGCAAGGGAUGCGAAGACGAUAGAGGCUGUCCCGCGGAACCACAGGUAAAGCAAAGAGCGAAGCGAACUCGUCACGGCUAACAGAGAUAUCAUCGUUCAGAACAGCCACACACACACACACACACACACACACACACACACACUUACAGUUUCCCCUCCCCCCGCAUCUCGCCUCCCGCCUCCCGCCUUCUGCUGCUCUGUCUUUCUCUCUGUCCCUUUCUGGAUGCCUUGUUCGCUUCCGCCUGCCCCUCCCCCUCCCCCAUUCCUUCGCUCGCUUCGGCCUUUGCGUGCCUCUGAUCCUCGUGCGUCUUCCUCCCCGCCUCCUCUCUUGCCUUCCUGUUUUCCCUCGCUUGCGUACACACGCACACACGCACAGACAUAGCAUGACGUCUUGCGCAGCACUGCUCUUCCACAACUUUGUGUGGGAGCCGUGCGGCCUGUCCAUGAAGGGACACACAAACACCCCGUCUGUGCAGGUUGCGAGUGGCGUCAACCCUGGCGCGGAUGUUGGCGCACAGCUGGGCCCCCGCGCGUAUGUGCAGCGGCUGAACCGCACGAUCCGGCGCCACCUCGUUGCGCGUGAUCGCUUCAAUGCCGACCAUCACGACAUUUGCAUGUACAUUGAGCGCUCAAAGAAUGAGAACAUUGUUGUCUAUCGGGCGAACUUGAUUGACUCGAAGACGGGUGAGCCCGUUGAGAGCGGCGCCCACCAGUCCGACUGCAGCUUCAAGACCUCGGAUCCGCUGCACGCGUACUGGAUCAAAAUCAACCCCGAGCACGUGGCUCGUCGCCGCGCUCGUGGUGAGCUGGAAGAUACUUGCGAGCUCAACAUGAUUGAGCGGAAGCUUGCGUACGGGUGCAAGGCUGUCGUGAUCAGCAAGGAUAGAUUUUUCAGCGAGGUGCUGCCCGACAAGGCGUCCCGCACUGCUGCGUCAAAGAAGAAGAUGGAGGCAAUCGAACUUCUGUUCGAGGAGGUGCAGCCGUGCGUGUGCAACUUUGCAGCUCUCUCUUCGUGGCCGGUCUGGAUGCUGCGGUUGCCUCCGCUGGUGGAGGGCAAGGACACGGCGGCCAGCGUGGCGCUCAACACAGACAGCGAGGCUUCUCCGUCUCCGCACGGUGGGGGCGCGCAGUUGCUGACGGCGGAUGGUGAGACUGAGGAGCAUGCACUGCCGACGAGAAACACGGUCGUGGCGAUGGUGACGAUGAUCGCCGGGAAGCUCAGUGUUCUGCAGAAAGUGUACGUGAAGAGCAUCGAGCCAAAGCACUUUUAUCAGCUGCCGAAGGUGGAGCACAUCGAGGUGCACGGUACGUCGCUCGCGACGGGUGAGUCCACCUACGAGAAGCUCACGAGAUGAACUGUGUCACGUCCACCAGCCGGUGCAAGGAGAAAGGGGGCACUGCGACGCAUGUCCUUGCACAUGCGUAUAAGAGAGCACGAGCGCAACCAUUCAUCGACCUCCCUUCUCUCCGUCCCGUCCUCCCUCUCUGCGCGCUUCUCUUUGUUCGUUGAAUUCUGACAUGACUCGUGCUCUCAACAGCACCGGCCCCCCUCCUCCCAACAACAAAAAUCGAAAAGCAGCAGGGAGGUGCGUUGUGUGUGUGUGUGCGCGUGCGUGCCUGUCGCAUCCUGCGAUGGCGGGAGGGGUGCGAGUAUUGCCCCGCCGACAUUCAUGAGCGACGCAUCAACGCUCCUCGCUCCCUUCGGCUGCAGCACCACACGAUACACGUCCACCUAUCAAGCUCGGUGAGAGUGGGAGAGAGAGUGGAGGU